GCGCAGGUCAGCCAACGGCAGGCUGUCCGCUUUCCGGCGGAACAUGGCGGUUCGAUUCCGACCCCUGCGCUCCA
RNAcentral lists this transfer RNA (74 nucleotides) under Caudoviricetes sp. RNAcentral's name for it is "tRNA-OTHER". Lineage: Duplodnaviria; Heunggongvirae; Uroviricota; Caudoviricetes. The record is from RNAcentral.